UUUUUAUCCCUUUUAUUUUUUGUUUUUUUUUUGUCAAAAUGUCAGGAAAAAUAAAUAGAGUUAAAUAACUAAUCAAAUGAUUUUUAUCUGCUCUAUUUAUAAAGAUUUAAUUUUUAUUCAUUUUAUUGCAUUUAAAUUCAUUUUAAAUCAUAGAAAUAUUCAAGGGCAAUGUGUGUUUCUUUGUGAUUAAUCUGGAACGUUGGAUCAGAAUAAUCAAGAGCUCAC
RNAcentral lists this long non-coding RNA (225 nucleotides) under Lathyrus oleraceus (garden pea). RNAcentral describes it as "Pisum sativum (pea) long non-coding RNA (PSAT_LNC037119)". The record is from RNAcentral. Lineage: Eukaryota; Viridiplantae; Streptophyta; Magnoliopsida; Fabales; Fabaceae.